RNAcentral lists this ribosomal RNA (822 nucleotides) under Salmonella enterica. Its description in RNAcentral is "bacterial LSU rRNA". It matches the Rfam family "Bacterial large subunit ribosomal RNA", at positions 711 to 1445 of the family's 2925-position model. RNAcentral also lists the same sequence under 1 other name. Lineage: Bacteria; Pseudomonadati; Pseudomonadota; Gammaproteobacteria; Enterobacterales; Enterobacteriaceae. The record is from RNAcentral.
AGACCCGAAACCCGGUGAUCUAGCCAUGGGCAGGUUGAAGGUUGGGUAACACUAACUGGAGGACCGAACCGACUAAUGUUGAAAAAUUAGCGGAUGACCUGUGGCUGGGGGUGAAAGGCCAAUCAAACCGGGAGAUAGCUGGUUCUCCCCGAAAGCUAUUUAGGUAGCGCCUCGUGAAUUCAUCUCCGGGGGUAGAGCACUGUUUCGGCUAGGGGGCCAUCCCGGCUUACCAACCCGAUGCAAACUGCGAAUACCGGAGAAUGUUAUCACGGGAGACACACGGCGGGUGCUAACGUCCGUCGUGAAGAGGGAAACAACCCAGACCGCCAGCUAAGGUCCCAAAGUCAUGGUUAAGUGGGAAACGAUGUGGGAAGGCCCAGACAGCCAGGAUGUUGGCUUAGAAGCAGCCAUCAUUUAAAGAAAGCGUAAUAGCUCACUGGUCGAGUCGGCCUGCGCGGAAGAUGUAACGGGGCUAAACCAUGCACCGAAGCUGCGGCAGCGAACGUAUCACCCAAGACAACUUUACGGAGUUGACGAUUGACGGAGCGAAGCGACGUCAAAGCGUUCAUUAAAGUCGAGUUGGCUUAGGGAUACGUUCGUUGGGUAGGGGAGCGUUCUGUAAGCCUGUGAAGGUGUGUCGUGAGGCAUGCUGGAGGUAUCAGAAGUGCGAAUGCUGACAUAAGUAACGAUAAAGCGGGUGAAAAGCCCGCUCGCCGGAAGACCAAGGGUUCCUGUCCAACGUUAAUCGGGGCAGGGUGAGUCGACCCCUAAGGCGAGGCCGAAAGGCGUAGUCGAUGGGAAACGGGUUAAUAUUCCCGUACU